UGGAUCAUUCUGAAAUGAGAA
This 21-nucleotide non-coding RNA is filed under the name Caenorhabditis elegans. The record is from RNAcentral. Lineage: Eukaryota; Metazoa; Nematoda; Chromadorea; Rhabditida; Rhabditidae.